This is a long non-coding RNA of Salvelinus sp. IW2-2015, 1190 nucleotides long. RefSeq lists it as uncharacterized. NCBI's taxonomy places the organism in Eukaryota, Metazoa, Chordata, Actinopteri, Salmoniformes, Salmonidae. The record is from RefSeq and is a predicted model, not a curated record.
UACGCCUGUUACUUCCUGCCUCGUUGGGUGUGUGUCUGUCUUUUUCGAAACCAUCAUAGAGCAUUUUCAUUUAAAGCAAGAUAUUGGACCUGUCUCUCAGCCCAGAGUACCACUGCACCUCACCUGCCUGUCUACCAGCCCAGAUCAGCCCACAGUACCACUGCUGUUCACCUGCCUGUCUACCAGCCCAGAGUCCCACUGCCGUUCACUUGCCUGUCUAUCUGUCCACGAUGAAGCUCAUCUUGACUCUCUCUCUCAUCUGCACUCGCUUCUGCUCAGUUGAGAUGCUGCAGUGUUUCAACUGCACUGAUGCAGCAUGUACAAACUCUUCUUUAGUUACCUGUCCAGCCUUAAACGAAAGAUGUCUCACUGCAACCAGAACCAUAAAAGGUCCCGAUAAUACCACCGUGGUACUCAAAAUGUGUUCACCAUCCUCCAUCUGUGAACUCCUCUUAACACUGAAGUCACAGUGUUCUGGGAACUUGGGCAUCAUAAGGGCUGCCUCUAACCAGCUCUGCUGUAACACCAAUGGUGCAACAAUGAAACUCUGUCUGCCCCCAGUUCACUGGCUAACGGAAGACAAUGUACCUCCUACAGCAGCUUCCAAGGCUUUGUGCAUAACAGCACUGUGGCCUGCCUGGGGGUGGAGGACCAGUGCUUGAGCUUUAGCGGCAAUGUACUUGGCUCAAUCAAUUAUAUGGUGAACGUCCAGGGCUGUACAUCUACCAACGUGUGCAACUAUAUUGAUCAACUGCUGCCCUCACGUUACAUCAACUUUGUGCAAUUCACCUGUAACACAGCCCCUUUACCUGUAAAUGUAACCAAAGCCCAUAACACAGCCUGCUCCAUCAGACUGAGCCUAGUCCCUCUGCUGCUGGGCCUCACCAUCAGCAAACUCAUCUGAUAGGAAAAGAGAUUAACAUAUCGGGACUCAUCUGACAACAUAAUGCAUUGAUUACAAAACAACAGAAUGUACAAUGAUUUUUAUGUAUUGUGAAAUACGUACUAUAAUUGAAAUUCUGUUAUUUAUAUGGAAUUUGCCAGAUGAUGAUGCCCUGUUACAUUAUAUAGUGUGCUUGCUUGAGGAAAUACUUUCUUAUAUAUUACUCUGUAUAUUUGAUAAAGUGUCAUUGCUUGUAAGUUUAAAACAAAUCAUCUCUGUCAAUGCCAAUAAAGUUUCUAUCACUUUA